RNAcentral lists this ribosomal RNA (480 nucleotides) under uncultured bacterium. Its description in RNAcentral is "partial 16S ribosomal RNA". It matches the Rfam family "Bacterial small subunit ribosomal RNA", at positions 28 to 523 of the family's 1533-position model. The record is from RNAcentral.
GACGAACGCUGGCGGCGUGCUUAACACAUGCAAGUCGAACGAUGAAGUUCCUUCGGGAAUGGAUUAGUGGCGAACGGGUGAGGAACACGUGAGAAACCUGCCUUUCAUUUUGGGAUAACUCCGGGAAACCGGGGCUAACACCGAAUACUCGGUCUCGGCGGCAUCGCUGAGCCGGGAAAAAAUUUUGAUGAAAGAUGGUCUCGCGGCCUAUCAGCUAGUUGGUGAGGUAAUGGCUCACCAAGGCAACGACGGGUAGCCGGCCUGAGAGGGCGACCGGCCACACUGGGACUGAGACACGGCCCAGACUCCUACGGGAGGCAGCAGUGGGGAAUAUUGGGCAAUGGGCGCAAGCCUGACCCAGCGACGCCGCGUGAGGGAUGAAGGCCUUCGGGUUGUAAACCUCUUUCAGUAGGGAAGAAGCGAAAGUGACGGUACCUAAAGAAGAAGCACCGGCUAACUAUGUGCCAGCCGCCGCGGUAA